UAAGGAGAGAACGCAGGUAACUUGUUUUUCUUUGGUUUUUACCAUAUAUUGGGGCUGAUGUGUACUGUAGUCCUUGCUGCUGUCCAGUAGUGAUGGGAGUGAGCGUAGGACUUAUCUUUUUGCAAGAUAGCAGUACUGUAUAUUAGAAAAGAAAUGACUCACAGGUUGUACCUGAUAGACCUACUUAAAUCUUUUUGCUUUAUUCUUUCUGUCGCAUAGAAGUAUAAGUUUAUUACUCUGUUUUAUUGUAAGUUAUUUCACAUGGG
This is a non-coding RNA of Pelobates cultripes (western spadefoot toad), 266 nucleotides long. Lineage: Eukaryota; Metazoa; Chordata; Amphibia; Anura; Pelobatidae. The record is from the annotation of a GenBank genome assembly.